Molecule: small nuclear RNA, 104 nt
Organism: Suricata suricatta (meerkat)
Lineage: Eukaryota; Metazoa; Chordata; Mammalia; Carnivora; Herpestidae
Source: Ensembl
GUGCUCAGUUUGGUAGCACAUGUACUAAAAUUGGAAUGAUACAGAGAUUAGCAUAUUCUCUGUGCAAGGAUGAUACACAGAUUUAUGAAGGGUUCUGUAUACUC